This is a non-coding RNA of Manis javanica (Malayan pangolin), 2609 nucleotides long. Lineage: Eukaryota; Metazoa; Chordata; Mammalia; Pholidota; Manidae. The record is from RefSeq and is a predicted model, not a curated record.
CUCCUUCAGAACUGUACUAUGAGAAAAGCUUUCUCCACUUCUGUCCUGCCUCAGUCUUUCUUGGAAGCACCAGAUUGGCCUAGAAUCAGAGGAGAUGUUCCAGGCUUCCAAGUGCUUGUUUCCUGUGAUCCAUUUGCAAACACACAGUGUCUUCACCAACCAGCAUCCCUGGCUCUCAGCAGAAACCACGGGACCCAGGCCUCGCUGGCAGUGGGGUCUGUCCAGCCAACGCAUCUUUGUUCAAGCAUGCAGUCUCAAUGAAACAACUAAAUUCCCAGUGGACACCACGAACCCCUCAGGAUUGAGGUGGACAUCACUAAGUGAACUGGGAAUCUGGUUCUGACAGGUUCAGUGGCGAGCAUGGCCACCACACUGAUUAGGGAACCUGGUGUCCCCAGCGCUAGUGUGCACAGCUUGCGCCCCUUGGCAGGGACUGCCGGCCAAGAAAUUCACAUGGACACAACCACGUUGGUCUUCGCUGGAAAACUCAAACCCUGAAUUCUCAGGGAGCAGGGGGUUUUAGAAAAAGAAAAGUUGUCAAGGUUCACACUCGUGAGAGGUGACAUUUUAUUCUUUCUUGGAGUGUGAACUGUUUGUAAUGUUUAAAAAUGUGUCUACCCAAAGUCCGUGUAGGUGCCCUUCCUGUGGUUGUAUUCAUUGUCGGAGGCUUUUUUCCUCAAUCCAUCCCCUACUAAGAAUUCACCUUGUAUCAUAGCUAUUAAGCUUUUGUGAUGUUUUGUCACUAUAAAUGACCAAUAUAGUAUCAGUUGGUCAUUUCUUGGAAGGUGAUUGUCCCAUUGUUUUUAUGUUCAGAAUCACUGCAGGAGGCAAGAAUGAAAUCCGAAAUCAAUUUUAUGUACAGUCCCAUUUUCUAAGGUAUAAUCUAAAGUGCCAAGAUGCCAUGGUGAAAUGAGUAAGAAAAAUCUGGAUUUGAAUCCUGGUCCAUUUAUUUCCUGUGUGAACCCUGGGCUAAUUACUUGGAGACCCUGGGCAUCACUUUUCCCAUCUCACAUCCUGAUUGUGAGUGUGUAGUGUGUGCUGCAUGGAAAGCAUUUAUGGUGGUGCCUGCUGUUUGGCAUGUUCUCAGUGAACAUGAGCCAUAUGAAAUUCUGUCAGCUGAACAUUCAGCUACACUUUCUUUUAGCUUUUUUUGCCCAUGGGAAUGGGAAGGGUUGGAGGGAAGGAUGUUUUACAUUUAACUUUUUAAUCUCUUAGGAGUUUAUUUUGAUAUACGGUAUGAGGUGAAGUUCUAACUUGGAGGUUUUUCCGAUGGGCCAAAAUUUUCAAAGUGCCAUUUGUUGAGCAAUUCUUCCCAUUGCUUUUUGUAAAGCUGUAGAGGUUCCUUUAUCAUUGAUCACACUCUUCUGUCUGUCUGUCAGCCUCAGGGAUGUCUUAUGUAAUCCAUGAGCUGUCGGUCAGUUCUUGUUCUAGUACUUGUCGUGGUUGUCUGUCUUCCUUUACUCUUUUAUUGAGAUAGAACUUAGAUCCAGUGAAGUGCAGGAGUCUUAAGCAUACAGCUUCAAGGAUGUUGAUGUUCUCAGACUUGUAAUUACUACCCACAUCAACUGAGAGACCCCCAGAUGGCUCCCUCAUGCCUGCUCCCUAAGGUGACCACUGUUCUAAAUUCUGUCACCAGAGCUUAAGGAAAUUUCUAUUCCUAGUUCAUUUAGGAAUAGAACAGGAGAUAAAUUUUGUUAUAUAUGGUUAUUCUGUACCUAUUGACAUAAGUGUAAGAGUUUUUCCUCCUCUAUUCUGUUCGUGGGUAGAUUAAAUUGGUUGAUUUUCAAAUAUUAAAUGAACUUAGCAUUUUUGAAAUAAAUCCUACCUGCUCAUGAUGUGUUAUUCUUUUUUACAAAUCAAGGGAUUUGAAUUUCAAAUAUCUUGGUUAUGGUCUUUACAUCUUUGUUCAUUAAAGAUAUUGGCCUGUCAUUUUUCUUUCUUGUAAUAUCCUUUUCAGAUUUUAGUAUCUAGGUUACGCUUGCCCCAUCACAUGAGUUAAUCAAUGUUUACCUCAUUUUUUAUUCUCUUAUUUAACUUUGGUGUUAUUUCUUCUUGUAAAGUUGAACAGAUUUCACCAGUGAAGCCAUCUGGGGCUAGAGGUUUCUCUGUGAAAAGAAAUGAAAUAAUUAGUUAAAAUUUUUUAAUACAUAAGGGACCUUUCAGAUUUUAUUCUUCUCAGACCUUUUCUAAUGUAUAAUCUGUUUCCUUAAAAACACUGCUUUUGCUGCUUUUCACAAGUUUAACAUGUUGUAUUUUCAUUAUAAAGUAAGCUCAACAUAUUUCCUAAUUUGUUCCAAGUAUCUUUCUGGUUAUCUUUCUUUUAUUGAUUUCUAGUUUAACUGCCUUAUGGUAAGAAAAUAUACUCUUGUGAUUUCAAUUGUGUGAAAUUUGAAAUUUGUGAUAUUUUCUUUAUGGCAUAAUAUAUUGUCCAUUUCAGUAUGUGUGUGUGUAUAAUAUGUAUAUAUUCUCAAUACUAGGCUAAUUUGAUUAAUCAUACUCAAUUUUUAUAUUAUCUGAUUUAUUUUCAGUUUGUUAGAGAAAGAAAUAUUAAAAUAUUGAAAUAUGGUCAAAGAUUUUUCCUAUUUUCCUUUAUAUAAUUUGAAGUUAUG